AUUUUUUCGUCUGUAACAACUUGGUUGAGUGGCUCCGAACGAGAAUUGAGUCUAACAUGUUUCAUAUGUUCUUGGCUACUUGUUGGUGGCUUUGGAGGGAAAGGAACUAAUUUUGUAUGGAGAAUGAGAAUGUCUCUUUUUUGUCGUCUUAAGCUUCAUAUUUUCAAGUUUGCGAAGGCUUUACUAGACGAAUUUGCCUCUCGAGUGGUUGUAGUAGCGAAUAGCAGAUGUAUUCAUCUGCAUG
Molecule: long non-coding RNA, 244 nt
Filed under: Lathyrus oleraceus (garden pea)
Lineage: Eukaryota; Viridiplantae; Streptophyta; Magnoliopsida; Fabales; Fabaceae
Description: Pisum sativum (pea) long non-coding RNA (PSAT_LNC019225)
Source: RNAcentral